CUGGAUGUGGCAGCCACUGGAACAGACACAAUGGAUGUUUCAGAAGUCUUAUGAGGAUUUAUAUUGGAGCCUAUUAUCUAUAUCAAAAUCUUAUUUAUAUCU
This is a long non-coding RNA of Sapajus apella (tufted capuchin), 102 nucleotides long. RefSeq lists it as uncharacterized. The record is from RefSeq and is a predicted model, not a curated record. The transcript has 3 exons. Lineage: Eukaryota; Metazoa; Chordata; Mammalia; Primates; Cebidae.